RNAcentral lists this ribosomal RNA (506 nucleotides) under uncultured bacterium. RNAcentral describes it as "partial 16S ribosomal RNA". It matches the Rfam family "Bacterial small subunit ribosomal RNA", at positions 29 to 523 of the family's 1533-position model. The record is from RNAcentral.
AGUGAACGCUGGCGGUAGGCCUAACACAUGCAAGUCGAACGGCAGCACAGGAGAGCUUGCUCUCUGGGUGGCGAGUGGCGGACGGGUGAGGAAUACAUCGGAAUCUACUUUUUCGUGGGGGAUAACGUAGGGAAACUUACGCUAAUACCGCAUACGACCUACGGGUGAAAGCAGGGGACCUUCGGGCCUUGCGCGAUUGAAUGAGCCGAUGUCGGAUUAGCUAGUUGGCGGGGUAAAGGCCCACCAAGGCGACGAUCCGUAGCUGGUCUGAGGGGAUGAGCAGCCACACUGGAACGGAGACACGGUCCAGACUCCUACGGGAGGCAGCAGUGGGGAAUAUUGGACAAUGGGCGCAAGCCUGAUCCAGCCAUACCGCGUGGGUGAAGAAGGCCUUCGGGUUGUAAAGCCCUUUUGUUGGGAAAGAAAUCCAGCUGGCUAAUACCCGGUUGGGAUGACGGUACCCAAAGAAUAAGCACCGGCUAACUUCGUGCCAGCCGCCGCCGUAA